This 201-nucleotide ribosomal RNA is filed under the name uncultured bacterium. Its description in RNAcentral is "partial 16S ribosomal RNA". It matches the Rfam family "Bacterial small subunit ribosomal RNA", at positions 27 to 220 of the family's 1533-position model. The record is from RNAcentral.
GGACGAACGCUGGCGGCGCGCUUAACACAUGCAAGUCGAGCGAGAACCAGGGGCUUCGGCUCUGGGGGACAGCGGCGAACGGGUGAGUAACACGUGAGUAAUCUGCCCUCGACACUGGGAUAGCCCGGGGAACCGGAUUAAUACCGGAUAGCCUUUCGAGCUCUCGGGCUCGUCAGAAAAGGAUGGCUUCGGCUUUCGGUU